AUAUAUUAAUCAAAAAUACCAGGAAAAUUCAAUUUCAGCUUCUGUUGCUGCAAAGUUCUGCACCAGGGAACUUUGGAGGGAAAAAAGGGUUAUUUUGCUAUUAAUGCUACUGAUCAAAGUUAAACAUCAUUUCCUCUGGAAAGGGCAAACCAACUAAACAAGUAUGUGGGAAGAUAAUUAGUUAAUCUGCUGGCUUUGGGUGGAUCCAUAUCAGUCUGCCUCUAAUCACAGAUGCAAAGCAGCCUUGAGACUUUUUUGAUGCUUUGAUUGUAGGGAUUGAAAGUCUUCCUGUUUAGAGAAGCAGCUCAUUUAGAUAAGCUACUUUUCCCAGCUUCUACACAUCACUAGUAAUGGAAUGUUUUUUUAUAAUUCCUAACUUUGAAGACUCAGACUUCUAUUUUGAUGUCAGUGAAAUCUUAGGCUCCUAAGCACAGGUAAACUUCACCUGUUGGAGUUUGGUCUGUGUGACACAGUGCUGUGUGUGCAUAGUGCUUAAUGCAUAAUCCAGGCAUUUGCUUUAUGCAGAGGUUACUGUGACACAUCAUGUGGCCAUUAAGAGGCUUCUUUAUGUAGAAUAUGAGCAGGAAGACUACUCACCUUCAACAUUUCUACAGCUCACUAAGCAUCUUCCAUGGAGAAAAACUGCUCCAAGUUUGCUCACCUGACAUGCUAUAAAUAAGAAACUCUGCUGGGUUUAUUCCUCUGUUCCAGUCUAAUACUGACUUUGUGACAAGAGGCCCCAGAGUGGAGAUUUUUGUAAUGAGAAAGUUGCAAAUGAGUAAUUUUGGUAGGAAGGUUACAUCGCUGGAUUUACAGACUCUGAAGUGAGCAGUAGAUCAGACCUCUAUGACGUGUAUGUGAAUUUGGCAGACAGUGAAAUUACAGUUUCACCUGUAGUAAAAGGUUGGUUGCUGUUUAUAUUUUGGAUUUAGAGGCAUUUUAUUCCAGAGUUGACAGUAAUUGCUCAACCUUCCUGUAGGUCAAACAAUCUUGAUCCUUCUCCCAUCCAGAUUUUGAAAAGUCAGUAUGUAAAUCUCUGUCUUCAUUUUAUUGCCACCCUGGAAGACUGGUUAAAGUUGGAAUUUGAAAAGCUGUGCUUUGUUUUCCAACAAAUGCACAACUGAGAUUUCUUAACAUCCAUAUUAGACAUGGAAGAGACUUCCAGCUGAAUGGAGAGGUAUUACAUGAAUUUUUAGAAACACUUAUCACUAAAUACUUGACGACUGGGCAUUAUUUGAAAGAAAUCCUUGUGUGUUGCUUAUCAUUUUGCUGCUCCUUAUCACUGUUUUGGGCCGCUUCAGA
Cyanistes caeruleus (blue tit) is the source of this 1302-nucleotide non-coding RNA. The record is from RefSeq and is a predicted model, not a curated record. Lineage: Eukaryota; Metazoa; Chordata; Aves; Passeriformes; Paridae.